ACCUUCAGUAUAAGCACUGUGCUAAAAUUGCAGAAACUAGGAUCACAUCUAGGUUUUUGUAAAAAUGCUAGCAGCAGAGCACAUACAAGAAGAAAAGUAACUGCACUAGACUGUAAAGACUGAGGUAAAGAAAGACCUCUUUCUUAAUGUCCAGUGUCCUCAGUCUUAAGAUUUGGUGUAAUAUGU
This is a small nucleolar RNA of Rhinolophus ferrumequinum (greater horseshoe bat), 186 nucleotides long. The record is from Ensembl. NCBI's taxonomy places the organism in Eukaryota, Metazoa, Chordata, Mammalia, Chiroptera, Rhinolophidae.